CUCAGAUGUAACAUACCGUAAUCCUGACCUUUACUAUGAAUAAGAUGAGGCUGCUUUAUUUUUCUGUUGCCAUAUUGUCGCUCAUGCAGGUACCCCAGGUUAAGGCUGCAGGAUGCAAUAUUCUGUCAGUUACAUCUCCUUCAGCAUCAUCCUUUAAAGUGGUAUGGAGCACCUACAGCAGUGGUUCAAUUUAUGUACUGGACUUCAGAGUGGUGAACUCCACCACUAUUUCCCCACUGAUGGUGAUGCCGCCACCAACCAGCACAGAGAUGGUGGUACAGGGGU
Molecule: long non-coding RNA, 285 nt
Organism: Oreochromis aureus
Lineage: Eukaryota; Metazoa; Chordata; Actinopteri; Cichliformes; Cichlidae
Exons: 3
Source: RefSeq, a predicted model, not a curated record